UGCAAGAUCUGGCCUUAUCUGAUACAACUUUAGCGAAGAUGAUUAAUGCUGGACAAUAAAGAAGACAAAAACGGAUCUCAUUUACACAUGGCCUCUUGUAGAAGAAUUCAAAGGUUCAUCUUAAUUUAUUACUAGGGAUUAAACCGGAGACGACCUUGAUUCAGAGGGAUACUGAGUAUCUAGUUUGCGAACAGUGGUGCUGGUUCGGAAAUCUUUACUCAUGCUAGCAUCACUGAAGAGUCCCACUAAAGCAGUCUCAUUGGGAUUACUCAGGAGAGUGAUCAAGAUCAAGCCUAAUUACUGUAAAUAAGGUGAUACAGCUGGCAAGACACAUACCAUGUUAUAUGAGAACAAUACAAUCUUUGGACUAAAGGAAGGGUGUCCUUUUGAUGUUUACAGAGAGAGGUGGCGAGUUGCUUAGUCAAGGCUGUCAGCUUGAUGCCAAUACAUUGUUCCUUGCAUUGAAUCGGUGCCUUGAGAUGAACGAUUAAGGAAGCAGGAGGUUGAAGGGGCAGUGGAAGGAUCUAAACAGACAAAAAGUCCCAAAGAGUCAGUGGAUAUUGACAGUCUUACCAAGAUGAAGUAAGAACAAUUAGAAAAGUGAAG
Long non-coding RNA from Gopherus evgoodei (Goodes thornscrub tortoise), 606 nucleotides. RefSeq lists it as uncharacterized. The transcript has 4 exons. The record is from RefSeq and is a predicted model, not a curated record. Lineage: Eukaryota; Metazoa; Chordata; Testudines; Testudinidae.